AAUUCAGUAGUUUAUAAAAAAUAUUAAAUUGCAAAUUUAAAGAAAUUAAUUAUCUGGAUUU
RNAcentral lists this transfer RNA (61 nucleotides) under Falcolipeurus marginalis. RNAcentral describes it as "tRNA-Cys". The record is from RNAcentral. Lineage: Eukaryota; Metazoa; Arthropoda; Insecta; Psocodea; Philopteridae.